This 66-nucleotide transfer RNA is filed under the name Saccostrea cuccullata (small rock oyster). RNAcentral's name for it is "Saccostrea cucullata (small rock oyster) tRNA-Gly". It matches the Rfam family "tRNA". From Rfam's summary of the family: Transfer RNA (tRNA) molecules are approximately 80 nucleotides in length. Their secondary structure includes four short double-helical elements and three loops (D, anti-codon, and T loops). The record is from RNAcentral. RNAcentral also lists the same sequence under 9 other names. Lineage: Eukaryota; Metazoa; Mollusca; Bivalvia; Ostreida; Ostreidae.
ACACUUUUAGUAUAAAUUAGUAUAUUUGUCUUCCAAACAAAAGGUUUCUUUGGUAGAAAAAGUGUA